CACUGGCCCCAUCGAAGCUGAAUGGAAUUACAUAUUCUAUAUCAGUCAAAACGAGGCCAAUAUAAAACUGUUGGCAUUAUGGUCGCAUGCUGUUGUUUAUUGACCAGUGUGCAUUACCCAUGUCAAGUACAAAA
RNAcentral lists this small nucleolar RNA (134 nucleotides) under Bicyclus anynana (squinting bush brown). Lineage: Eukaryota; Metazoa; Arthropoda; Insecta; Lepidoptera; Nymphalidae. The record is from RNAcentral.